UGAUUACAGAGAAAGAGCACCCUGACACU
Molecule: non-coding RNA, 29 nt
Filed under: Rattus norvegicus (Norway rat)
Lineage: Eukaryota; Metazoa; Chordata; Mammalia; Rodentia; Muridae
Source: RNAcentral